CCCCAGCCACAGCGUUAUAGCUACGUGAGGCCAAACUUCCUCACUUCCGGAACUGGGAGCUGAGUGACCUUCCUUUCUUGUCACCGGCCUUUUAUUACAGCAAAGCCAGAUGGACAGAGCCAUCUUCCUGGAAGUAGCAAUUGACAAUUGAAGGGUUGAGCGACAAAGAAGAGAGGGGCAGGCAUGAUGGCGCAUGGCUGGAAUCCCAGCAUUCAGAAGGCUGAGCAGGAGGAUCACCGAGAGAUGGAGGCGGGUCUGGGCUAGACAGUGAAUUCAAGGCCAGCCUGCACUACUUGGUGAGACUCUGUCCCGAAAGGAAAAACAAAAGAAGAAGAAGAGAAGGAAGAGCUAUGUGCAGAGAUCAGGGUUCAGAGAGAACACAUCAAUGAAAAGCAGUUUUAUGGCUCUCAAACCAUCUUCAUCAAAGAGGCCAAGACAAAAUACUUCAAAGACAAGGUUAUCUACUCUCUCUGCAGUUUCUAAAAGCACAGAUGAAAAUUGUCUAAGUAGAAAUAAUACUCAACUUGAACAAAUACACACUGGGUAGUAAAAAAAGUACAAGGAAGGUUAUUUGUCCUUGGCUUGCCUUCCACUGUGAACACACAUGCUCUGGGUCCUUGGUGUGCGUUGUAUGAAGAACACUCUCUAAUGCCUCCAUUAGACCCCAGGAAGCUGUGCAGGAUUUGGGGAGAUGACCUUGCUGUCAGUCGUCUUCUUUGUGCUCCUUACAGAACUGUGAAAAUGGGAUUUUGCAUGUUUUACUGCAGUGAAAACAAAGUGUAGAAGUAAACGCAAUCCUAUACUGUUGUGAGGAUGUAAUUCAUUGGCAAUGGUUGCUCUUAACUCAAUGCAAGCUAAAAAGACACAAAAGCAAUGUUCUUGCAUUUUAGUCCCUUG
This is a long non-coding RNA of Fukomys damarensis (Damara mole-rat), 897 nucleotides long. RefSeq lists it as uncharacterized. The record is from RefSeq and is a predicted model, not a curated record. The transcript has 3 exons. NCBI's taxonomy places the organism in Eukaryota, Metazoa, Chordata, Mammalia, Rodentia, Bathyergidae.